UCAGAUUUUGUUACCUCACUUAAAGACAAAGCUGAAUUAUUCGCUAAGAACUUUUUAUCUAUCUCAUUUCUUGAUUCGACCAAUCACAUUCUACCCGAUAAAACCGUCAAACAGGUUAAUCCAUCGCUUGACAUUCUUAUCACCCCAGCUUUUGUAUCAAAAGUGAUUUCUUGCUUAAACUUCUACAGACUGUGGUCCAGACGACAUACAUGUCAUAGUCUUGCAAAAGUGUUGUUCGGAGCUGUCGUCUAUACUUUCAAAACUAUUUAACAAAUGUUUAUAGAAGUCAUGUUUUCCACCCUGCUGGAAAGCUGUGAAUGUGUUUCCUAUUUUUUAAAAUUUUAGAUAGCGAUCCGACUUGUCUAUCUAUCAUCCCAUCGGUCUUCUUACUAGCAUAAGCAAGGUUUAUGAGUAUUUAAUUAACACACAAUUAAUCUCUCAUCUUGAAUCUAAUAACUUACUUUCUGAUCUGAAAUAUGGAUUUCGAUCUUCUCAUUCUACUGCUUAAUUUAAGUUUACUUUUACAGGUGGAUAUGCAAACAUUAUGGAGAAGUGAUGCCCAGUAUCUUAAAGAGAGGCAAAGGGUUACGAGAAAAUAGCGUGCUAGCAAGUGGUUGUAAAAUGGUUAUUUAUGUAGCCUAAAAAAAGAAAUAAGGAGUUAUUAUAUUAAGAAAAAAAAUUUAGUUCAUAAUCAUCCACAUGGGCCUGAGCAGUUCUGUAUGUAUAGUUCAGAAUGUCAACCAAAAGGUGUUCUCGAGCAGCAGACAAUGCUUCUGCUAUCUCAUGGUGCUAAUCCUACACUUAUAACAGACAAUUUAAACAGACAUGGUUUAAAGACUAGACCUCGUGAUAUAUAUAACAUAAAGCAAAGAAUGAAAUUUAAAGGUUUUUGUUAUGGUUGAAACUUCAAUUUUAAAUUGUAUGACUUUUCUAAAAGGUUAAUUAUCUUUUCUAAAAGGUUAUUUUUUUCCCUAUAAAAUAAACAGGUCUUGCACUCGAUGAAGUUAUAAAGGUUGUUGAAUUACCAAACGUCAUAUCCCAUAUUGAUGCAGAUCUUGAUAGAAAAGUAGAGUGUAUAACAUGGACAACUACUGAACAAAUAAAUUUGUUGAAAAAGUAUCCUGAGUGUAUCAUGCUUGAUGGUACCUAUAAGAUUAGCAACUUUUCUAUGCCAUUAUACACAAUGGCUGUUGUGGAUCAAAAUGGCAUUGGGCGACCUGUAGUGCAGUCUUUAGUUUAUCGUGAGGACCAGUCACAUCUACAGCUGCUAAUGACACAUGCUAAGGAAUGGGCUGGGAUUGAAACUUUUCAAAAGUCGAUAGUCAUGGUUGAUAAAGCUCAAGCAGAAAUAUCUGGACUACAGUCCCUUUUUCCAGGAAAUAAAAUAUUUCUCUGUCGCUUUCAUGUAGCUAAAGCUUUUAUUUAUCAAAUUAAAAAGGGUAGACUUACUGCUGACGAUCAGGAAUUAUUAUUCAAGGCUACUCAGAAAUUAAUGUACAGUAAUCAGGCAACAUGCGCUGAAGCUUUCUUAAAUAUUGAAAAAAAUUUCCCUACGUUCUAUGUGUAUCUUCAAGAAAAGUGGCUGACCAUACCAGAAAUGUUUAUGGGUCACUAUAGAAAAGGUCUGAUGCAUUUAGACAAUCAUACUAAUAACAGACUUGAAAGAUAUCAUAGAACACUUAAAGAUGUUGUCCUUUUGUCACGCAUGUCACUGGGAAAUCUUAUAGAUAAAAUUCUAAAGGUUAAUAGAGUGCAAAUAGAAAAAUCUAAACAUGCAGACUUUGACCAACAACUAAAAGUUAACAAUAAACUUCCAGAGCCACUAAAGUUUUAUUCACAUCAUGUUUCUUCUUUUAUUCUUCGUCAUCUCAUAAAACAAUAUGAUAAAAGUGUCAAGUCUGAUUUUAGUUUAUAUGAGGACAGAGAUUCAUUACAAAUAAUCAAUCGGCAAUCAACUUUUUAUAACAUAAUAGACUGGGUUUGCAUCUGUAACGCUGCAUCAGGGUUUGGCGUGCCGUGUGCACAUGUUCUUUUUGCUCUAAGAACGAAAAAUGUAACUGUUAAUGAUCUAUAGUUGAUUCAUAAAAGGAGUUGUAAUAAGAUGAGACCCAUGAGGUAGAGCUGGAGAAUUAGAUUAUCCUUUGUUGUUGACUUUGUUAAAAUUAGUUGAAGAGAGAUUCAGACAUUUAUGAAUGAGUCUGGUAUCAAGUUUAUGAAUUAGUCUGAUAUCGAACAAAAAGUUGCAUUCUUUACCACAACUUUAAGAUGUACAAGACUCAAAGUUUCUUAUAUCUUUAUUGUUCCCAAUAUUCAACAUUGCAUUAUGUUGAAAAUAUUAGAAACCAUAAAAAUCUAUGAAUUGAAAACUACAAACUAAUUAGAAAAACAGAAGUUAUAACAUCUUAAAUUUAAAUUGUUUACUUAAAACCACACAAUGUUUUUCAAUAACCCAAACAACGACUGCUACAUCAGCAGCAGCAGCAGUAUCAAAAAAAGCAGGGUUGUCACCAAAUCAAGGAAAUCAGAGAUUUCAGGAAAAAUCAGAGAAAUUCAAAUACAAUCAGGGAAAAUGAUUGUUUUUGCAAAAAAUCAGGGAAUAUCAGGGAAUUUUUUUAUUUAUUACAAUUUUUAUAAUGUUUUAAAAUGUUUUUUAAUAUAAAUAUUCCAUUUCAGUGUACAUUUCAGGGUUAAUUUUUUUUUAAAUUAUUUAACAAAGUUAGUCAAAGUGUGUUUAUCUUUAUUUUAGAAUGGUCAAAAUUUUUUAAAAUCUGAAAUAUGAAUACUUGAAAUAUCUGGAGUAAACCUUUAAAGAUUUAACGAAAAAAUCAGGGAAAAAUAAUCAAAAUUUCAGCGAAAAAAUCAGGGAAAAUCAGGGAAUUUUAUUCCUAAAUAACAUUGGCAACCCUGUUUGUAAAAUGUUAUAUGUUUGCUAAAACUUAUAAUACUUAUUUAACCACUAUUUAUAUUGUAUCAAUCAUAUAUAUUUCUGAACAAGGUCUUACAGUCAAGGAUACUUACAAUUACUUUAAAACUAAUAUAAAGUAAACACCUAACGAUAAUCAUAUUAAAUAAUAUUAGUGAUACAAAUAAUAAUUAUAAAGAUAAUAGUUAUAAAUUAUCAACACCAAU
RNA transcript from Hydra vulgaris (swiftwater hydra), 3129 nucleotides. RefSeq lists it as uncharacterized. The record is from RefSeq and is a predicted model, not a curated record. NCBI's taxonomy places the organism in Eukaryota, Metazoa, Cnidaria, Hydrozoa, Anthoathecata, Hydridae.